GUUGAUGUAGCUCACACGGUAGAGCAGUAGAUUCUUAAUCUAUUGGCUGGUGGUUCAAGUCCACCCUUCAAACC
This 74-nucleotide transfer RNA is filed under the name Amylibacter sp. IMCC11727. RNAcentral describes it as "tRNA-Lys". It matches the Rfam family "tRNA". Rfam says of the family: Transfer RNA (tRNA) molecules are approximately 80 nucleotides in length. Lineage: Bacteria; Pseudomonadati; Pseudomonadota; Alphaproteobacteria; Rhodobacterales; Paracoccaceae. The record is from RNAcentral.